UACGGGGGGGGCAAGCGUUGUUCGGAAUUACUGGGCGUAAAGGGCUCGUAGGCGGCCAACUAAGGCGGAUGUGAAAUCCCCAGGCUCAACUUGGGAACUGCAUCCGAUACUGGAUGGCUUGAAUUCGGGAGAGGGAUGCAGAAUUCCAGGUGUAGCGGUGAAAUGCGUAGAUAUCUGGAGGAAUACCGGUGGCGAAGGCGGCAUCCUGGACCGACAUUGACGCUGAGGAGCGAAAGCUAGGGGAGCAAACGGG
Molecule: ribosomal RNA, 253 nt
Filed under: uncultured bacterium
Lineage: Bacteria
Description: partial 16S ribosomal RNA
Rfam family: Bacterial small subunit ribosomal RNA
Source: RNAcentral